CAGGGGUGCAGUAUCGGGCAGAUGGCAGCCUGGGUCAGUUGCAUUUGCCUAUUAAACCACCCCGAGAUGU
Molecule: small nucleolar RNA, 70 nt
Filed under: Euglena gracilis
Lineage: Eukaryota; Euglenozoa; Euglenophyceae; Euglenales; Euglenaceae
Description: Eg-p20.1 AGAUGN box pseudouridylation-guide
Source: RNAcentral